AACGCCGCGUGUGUGAUGAAGGUCUUCGGAUUGUAAAGCACUUUCGACCGGGACGAAACCCUCAAGCCCAACACGCUUGAGUCUGACGGUACCGGGAGAAGAAGCACCGGCUAACUCUGUGCCAGCAGCCGCGGUAAUACAGAGGGUGCAAGCGUUGUUCGGAAUUAUUGGGCGUAAAGCGCGUGUAGGCGGCAUGGCAAGUCGGGUGUGAAAGCCCUCAGCUCAACUGAGGAAGUGCGCCCGAAACUGCCGUGCUUGAGUGCCGGAGAGGGUGGCGGAAUUCCCCAAGUAGAGGUGAAAUUCGUAGAUAUGGGGGAGGAACACCGGUGGCGAAGGCGGCCACCUGGACGGUAACUGACGCUGAGACGCGAAAGCGUGGGGAGCAAACAGGAUUAGAUACCCUGGUAGUCCACGCCGUAAACGAUGAGAACUAGCUGUCAUGGGAGUUGACCCCCGUGGUGGCGCAGCUAACGCAUUAAGUUCUCCGCCUGGGAAGUACGGUCGCAAGACUA
RNAcentral lists this ribosomal RNA (512 nucleotides) under uncultured Pseudomonadota bacterium. RNAcentral describes it as "bacterial SSU rRNA". It matches the Rfam family "Bacterial small subunit ribosomal RNA", at positions 393 to 896 of the family's 1533-position model. The record is from RNAcentral. Lineage: Bacteria; Pseudomonadati; Pseudomonadota.